UAGGGAAUCUUCGGCAAUGGACGAAAGUCUGACCGAGCAACGCCGCGUGAGUGAUGAAGGUUUUCGGAUCGUAAAGCUCUGUUGUUAGGGAAGAACAAGUACCGUUCGAAUAGGGCGGUACCUUGACGGUACCUAACCAGAAAGCCACGGCUAACUACGUGCCAGCAGCCGCGGUAAUACGUAGGUGGCAAGCGUUGUCCGGAAUUAUUGGGCGUAAAGCGCGCGCAGGCGGUCUCUUAAGUCUGAUGUGAAAGCCCACGGCUCAACCGUGGAGGGUCAUUGGAAACUGGGGGACUUGAGUACAGAAGAGGAGAGUGGAAUUCCACGUGUAGCGGUGAAAUGCGUAGAUAUGUGGAGGAACACCAGUGGCGAAGGCGGCUCUCUGGUCUGUAACUGACGCUGAGGCGCGAAAGCGUGGGGAGCAAACAGGAUUAGAUACCCUGGUAGUCCACGCCGUAAACGAUGAGUGCUAGGUGUUGGGGGGUACCGACCCUCAGUGCUGACGUU
This 507-nucleotide ribosomal RNA is filed under the name uncultured Bacillota bacterium. Its description in RNAcentral is "bacterial SSU rRNA". It matches the Rfam family "Bacterial small subunit ribosomal RNA", at positions 355 to 853 of the family's 1533-position model. Lineage: Bacteria; Bacillati; Bacillota. The record is from RNAcentral.